Molecule: non-coding RNA, 3463 nt
Organism: Oryza sativa Japonica Group (Japanese rice)
Lineage: Eukaryota; Viridiplantae; Streptophyta; Magnoliopsida; Poales; Poaceae
Source: RefSeq, a predicted model, not a curated record
GGUUAAAAAGUCAACGACGUUAUGCAUUAAAAUAUGGAGGGAGUCCUUUUGCAGCAGGAGUUGCCAAAGAAGCAGUUCAAAGCUGAACACCUUUCUUCGUGGAGGGUGCAGCAACCCUUCCGAGCUGCAAAAGGUGCAUUCAUGGGGUCGUCGCUGGAGGCGGAGCAGCAGAGCUUGAUAGUGCGGACGACAGAGCCGGAGGAUGUUGAUGACUACACAGGCGAUGGAUCUGUAGGCUUCAGUGGUCAACCUAUUUUGAAGCAUGAAACGGGCAAUUGGAGGGCAUGCUCACUAAUUCUUGGAACUGAAGUUUGCGAACGCUUGGCCUACUAUGGCAUCUCAAAAAGUUUGGUCACUUACCUAUCGACAAGAUUGCAUGAAGGAAAUGUCUCUGCAGCAAGGAACUUUACAACUUGGCAAGGAACUUGUUAUCUCACGCCACUUAUUGGAGCAACCUUAGCAGACUCAUACUGGGGAAAGUACAAGACUAUUGCUGUUUUCUCAACAAUUUACUUUCUGGGGAUGGCAGCAUUGACAUUUUCAGCAUUGGUUCCUUCUCUUCAACCUCCUCAAUGUUUUGGGUCCUUUUGUCCACAACCAACCGUGCCUCAGUAUCUGAUAUACUUUGUUGGACUAUACAUGAUUGCUUUAGGGUCUGGAGGUAUUAAGCCAUGUGUUUCAUCCUUUGGUGCUGAUCAAUUUGAUGACACUGAUCCAGUUGAGAGAACAAAGAAGGGUGCUUUCUUCAAUUGGUUUUAUUUUGCUAUAAACAUCGGUUCUUUGAUAUCUGGCACAGUUCUUAUUUGGGUACAACAAAACUGUGGAUAUGGAAUUGGAUUUGGAAUUCCUACUAUCUUCAUUGCCUUAGCUAUUGGAAGUUUUUUUAUAGGUUCUCAGAGAUAUAGAUAUCAGAUACCUGGAGGAAGCCCCCUUAUAAGAGUAUGCCAGGUGGUUAUUGCAGCCAUCCACAAGAGAAAUGUUGAUUUGCCGGUUGAUAGUUCUGUUCUUUAUGAGCUUCAUGGUAAGACUUCUGCAAUUGAGGGGAGUCGUAAGCUGGAACAUAGUAGUGAAUUCAGUUUCCUUGACAAAGCUGCCGUCAUUUUGUCGAAUGAACGUGGUGGUUCUCAUGAUCCUUGGAGACUUUGCACUAUCACACAGGUUGAAGAGCUUAAAAUAUUAAUGAGGAUGUUUCCAAUCUGGGCAACUGGCAUUGUGUUCUUCACUGUAUGUGCUCAAAAUUCAUCAAUGUUUAUAGAACAAGGGAUGGCCCUCAACAAUCAAAUUGAAUCCUUUAAAAUUCCGCCAGCCACUCUGUCAUCCUUGGAUGUUAUCAGCAUUGUUGUUUGGGUCCCAAUCUACGAAACUUUCGUUGUGCCGAUAGCAAGUAGACUGACUGGUAAAGAGAGAGGCUUCUCGGAGCUUCAACGAAUGGGAAUUGGUCUGUUUGUGGCUACUACUGCAGUGGCAACUGCAGCAUUGGUUGAGAUUAAGCGUCUGGAGAUUGCAAGGUCAGAAGAUCUGAUCCAUAGUAAGGUACCUGUUCCCAUGAGCAUUCUUUGGCAAGCGCCUCAAUACUUGUUGGUUGGUAUUGGUGAGGUGUUCACAGCCAUUGGCCAAGCCGAGUUCUUCUACAACCAGUCUCCAGAUUCCAUGAGAAGCUUGUGCUCCGCUUUCGCUCUUGUUACGGUGUCGCUUGGAAGCUAUCUUAGUUCAUUCAUACUGACCCUGGUUUCAUAUUUUACAACUCGAGAUGAUAAUCCGGGUUGGAUCCCUGAUAACUUGAAUGAAGGCCAUCUUGACCGCUUUUUCUGGCUCAUAGCUGGCCUUAGUUUUCUGAAUCUUCUUCUUUUCGUCUACUAUGCACAGCAAUACAAGUGCAAGAAAGCAGCUGCAAUUUAAUGUCAGCCUUCAUAGAGCAAUAUUACUUGGACAAAGGAAUUUAUUGUACAGCAAAUUGUAUGUAUAUAUUUUAUCUCAAAAAAUACUGAAUAAUCUCUUGUAUAUGUACAUUGAUUCUCCUCAGUGGUACUGGUACAUAAUAUUACUUGGAGAAUGGGAAAAAAAACAAUCUUCUUCUUGCUUUUGCUAGUCAGUUUAUUUUCAUAUGAAAGCAUGUUGUUCCCCUCCAAACAUUUUCUAUUGCAGACAUAAUUGAUCUGUUUGUUUUCCUGUCAGAAAUCAGAAUAAAUAAACCAUGUGUACUGUUUGCUGAAACUGAAAGGAUAUUUGGCACGUUACACGUGCUUGGCUAGUAUAGGUAUUUUAUUUGGAUUUGACUGAAUAUGACUAAUCAGAAGUGCCAACUUGCAUCCUGUGACAGAUUGCCCAUCAGGCCACCAUGCGUCGCCGGUGAGCUUCUUGAGUUUGAGCUUCUUGAACUCGGUUUAAUCAAAAUAUUUCAACGCAAAUACGUUUAAUCAAACUUAAUUUUGGAGUUGAUUUUAAGGGUUUUUUUAGUAUUUUUUUAAGGGGCUGCUACAUACCGAAAUCCCGUUCAAAAACGGGAUGAUUCUGAAACUACAGUAUCACCACAUGCGAGCGUUGCAAAAAAAAGGAGAACGACCAGUGAUUGCCAUCCGCCGGCUUGUACGCAUCCCAGCGAAACCUCCUCAGAAUCGCACGCGAUUUCUCGCUUCCUUCCACCGAGGCGAGCAUCGUCCGCCGGCUCCUCUGCAUCUCGGCGAAUCCUCCUCGGAAUCACGCACCUCCGCGCUUCCUUCCGCCGGUGCGAGCGUUGCCCCCAGUUUUUCCUCCGCAUCCUAGCGAAUCCUCCUCGGAAUCGCGCGCCUCCGUGCGCGAUUCCUCGGUUCAUUUCACCGUUGCACACGCCGUCUGUCGAUUUCCUCUACAACUCAGCGAUUCCUCGGUUGAUUCUGCCGGCACACAUGCCGUCUGCGAUUUCCUCUACAAUCCAGCAAUUUCAGUUGAUUUCGUCAGCUCCUUUGCUCCUACCUCCUCAAUUGAUUCUGCUACAAGUGUGAUGUGAGCUCAACAUCAGCCUGCGUUUCAACGCCGACUACCCUGUGGAGAAUAAAAAAAAGUGAUGCCCCCCCGAGUGAAUCCCCUUUGUGUACACGUUCUGCUAGUGUGUUUGUGGCUAGUGAGUCAGUUGUGACAACAAAUAGUAGAUGUAUAGAGAAGCGCUGAAUUAUUUCCUCAAUAAUUCAGGCGGUAAAAAGAAGUCAGAAACAAGUGUUGAAGCUAGUGGUACAGAGAUGCAAUAGACUACAGGUAAAUUAUUGAUAAGUUAUCCAUGAAAUGCUUCUAUAGACAGUAUAAAACUUAUAGUUGAUACCCUAGGAGGAUCAUGAUCUUCCUCUGUAUCAUGUCCGGUAUCAUUAGGUUUCCACAGUUGAUACCCUAGGAGGAUCAUGUGAUAAGUAUCAUUAUGUGUGAUAUCUGUGUAGUAUCGCAUGAUCUUACUUAGGUAACAUGUCUGGUAACAUGAUCCUUGUGGGUUUCA